UACGGAGGGUGCAAACGUUGCUCGGAAUCAUUGGGCGUAAAGCGCGUGUAGGCGGUCCGGUAAGUCCGCUGUGAAAGUCGGGGGCUCAACCCUCGGAUGCCGGUGGAUACUGUCGGGCUUGAGUACGGAAGAGGCGAGUGGAAUUCCUGGUGUAGCGGUGAAAUGCGCAGAUAUCAGGAAGAACACCAGUGGCGAAGGCGGUCAACUGGCCCGAAACUGACGCUGAGGAGCGAAAGCGUGGGGAGCAAACAGG
This 253-nucleotide ribosomal RNA is filed under the name uncultured bacterium. Its description in RNAcentral is "partial 16S ribosomal RNA". It matches the Rfam family "Bacterial small subunit ribosomal RNA", at positions 524 to 776 of the family's 1533-position model. The record is from RNAcentral.